CCCACACUGCCGUUUCUUCCAAACAACCAAAUCGAUGUUUCCGGCUUCUUGCAACGAAAUAGGGACAUCAUGUUUUGGGAGACCCUAGUUUGUUCAUGAGUUGGUUAUCAGCGAAAUUGAUUCUGGUGUUGAAGAUCUUCAAUGAUUCUGCCAGGCCAUCUUCAGAUCUUCAACUGCGUUUUAAGAGUUCGCAAUGACAACAGGUUCUCCUGAUCUAAUCUAUCGCGCAAUUAUGCUGUUUGGAUGAUAAUGAAGAUCGCAAGUUAUUUAGGAGUGACAUUUUCCUACUGGUUUGGGAUUUGAUUAUAAUGAAGCAAAAGAUGCUUGCUGAUGAACAAAUCGGGAGAUUAUGACUAAAAGUGAUUAUUAUCAAAGGGGAUUUGACUCAUAAAAUUAUUAUCAUUAAAUGUGAUUAUAUUAAUUAAUCUUUAAUACUUCAUUAUGUAAAUUAAGAAAAAAAAAUGCUAAAAUUGAUUAUCUCUUUAAAGCACAAAUGCUGUAAUUAAUUAUUUUA
Long non-coding RNA from Rosa rugosa (rugosa rose), 514 nucleotides. RefSeq lists it as uncharacterized. The transcript has 4 exons. Lineage: Eukaryota; Viridiplantae; Streptophyta; Magnoliopsida; Rosales; Rosaceae. The record is from RefSeq and is a predicted model, not a curated record.